AUACGAAGGGUGCUAGCGUUGUUCGGAACUACUGGGCGUAAAGCGUGCGUAGGCGGACUUUUAAGUCAGAUGUGAAAUCCCAGGGCUCAACCCUGGAACUGCAUUUGAAACUGGGAGUCUAGAGACCAGGAGAGGUUAGCGGAAUACCGAGUGUAGAGGUGAAAUUCGUAGAUAUUCGGUGGAACACCAGUGGCGAAGGCGGCUAACUGGACUGGUACUGACGCUGAGGCACGAAAGUGUGGGGAGCAAACAGGAUUAGAAACCCUAGUAGUCC
Molecule: ribosomal RNA, 274 nt
Filed under: uncultured bacterium
Lineage: Bacteria
Description: partial 16S ribosomal RNA
Rfam family: Bacterial small subunit ribosomal RNA
Source: RNAcentral